This 405-nucleotide ribosomal RNA is filed under the name uncultured rumen bacterium. RNAcentral's name for it is "bacterial SSU rRNA". It matches the Rfam family "Bacterial small subunit ribosomal RNA", at positions 354 to 776 of the family's 1533-position model. The record is from RNAcentral.
GUGGGGAAUAUUGCACAAUGGAGGAAACUCUGAUGCAGCGACGCCGCGUGAGUGAAGAAGUAUUUCGGUAUGUAAAGCUCUAUCAGCAGGAAAGAAAAUGACGGUACCUGACUAAGAAGCCCCGGCUAACUACGUGCCAGCAGCCGCGGUAAUACGUAGGGGGCAAGCGUUAUCCGGAUUUACUGGGUGUAAAGGGAGCGUAGACGGCCAUGCAAGUCUGAAGUGAAAGCUCGGGGCUCAACCCCGGAACUGCUUUGGAAACUGUAAGGCUGGAGUGCAGGAGAGGUAAGCGGAAUUCCUAGUGUAGCGGUGAAAUGCGUAGAUAUUAGGAGGAACACCAGAGGCGAAGGCGGCUUACUGGACUGUAACUGACGUUGAGGCUCGAAGGCGUGGGGAGCAAACAGG